GCCCCCCCCUCAAAAAAAUUAUUAGUCACUAAGAGCGACUAAAGGCUACACAAGCGUUUUGUCGUUAUCGGAAAAUGUAUGGCCGAUAAGUUGUCAUUACUCAUUAGUCAGAAUGCGCGUAUACAUGAAACUGUUUUUUACAGUUUCAAUAUUAGUUUGUAAAUCUCUGAAUGGUAAAACUUGCCAAUACUCCAAUAAUACGUUUCAAAAAAGACAAAAAGCUUUAGUUUUGCAGGGUUAAGUUCUCAAACGUGUAAGGCACUAAUAAGAUGAAACUGAUCACGAAAUUAUUUGAAUAAACCACAGGGGGGGCGAUAUUCCUUUUGAGGGGGGGCGAAUCUCCUGGGGGGGCGACCUUUUUAAAAAUUAUAUCUUGCCCCCCCCAAAUAUGAGUUUGCCCCUCAAAUGCCCCCAAAUUCUGAGGCCUGGCGCCGCCACUGAACCGGCCCCUGAAGUUUAUGUAAAUCAGGAC
Non-coding RNA from Paramuricea clavata, 472 nucleotides. NCBI's taxonomy places the organism in Eukaryota, Metazoa, Cnidaria, Anthozoa, Malacalcyonacea, Plexauridae. The record is from the annotation of a GenBank genome assembly.